RNAcentral lists this ribosomal RNA (819 nucleotides) under Neocamarosporium betae. RNAcentral describes it as "partial 28S ribosomal RNA". It matches the Rfam family "Eukaryotic large subunit ribosomal RNA", at positions 62 to 898 of the family's 3401-position model. The record is from RNAcentral. Lineage: Eukaryota; Fungi; Ascomycota; Dothideomycetes; Neocamarosporiaceae.
AAACCAACAGGGAUUGCCUCAGUAACGGCGAGUGAAGCGGCAACAGCUCAAAUUGAAAUCUGGCUCUUUUAGAGUCCGAGUUGUAAUUUGCAGAGGGCGCUUCGGCGUUGGCAGCGGUCCAAGUUCCUUGGAACAGGACGUCACAGAGGGUGAGAAUCCCGUACGUGGUCGCUAGCCAUCGCCGUGUAAAGCCCCUUCGACGAGUCGAGUUGUUUGGGAAUGCAGCUCUAAAUGGGAGGUAAAUUUCUUCUAAAGCUAAAUACUGGCCAGAGACCGAUAGCGCACAAGUAGAGUGAUCGAAAGAUGAAAAGCACUUUGGAAAGAGAGUCAAAUAGCACGUGAAAUUGUUGAAAGGGAAGCGCUUGCAGCCAGACUUGCCUGUAGUUGCUCAUCCGGGCUUUUGCCCGGUGCACUCUUCUGCGGGCAGGCCAGCAUCAGUUUGGGCGGUUGGAUAAAGGUCUCUGUCAUGUACCUCUCUUCGGGGAGAACUUAUAGGGGAGACGACAUACAACCAGCCUGGACUGAGGUCCGCGCAUUUGCUAGGAUGCUGGCGUAAUGGCUGUAAGCGGCCCGUCUUGAAACACGGACCAAGGAGUCUAACAUCUAUGCGAGUGUUUGGGUGUCAAGCCCGAGCGCGUAAUGAAAGUGAACGGAGGUGGGACCCCUUUUAGGGUGCACCAUCGACCGAUCCUGAUGUCUUCGGAUGGAUUUGAGUAAGAGCAUGGCUGUUGGGACCCGAAAGAUGGUGAACUAUGCUUGAAUAGGGUGAAGCCAGAGGAAACUCUGGUGGAGGCUCCGCAGCGGUUCUGACGUGCAAAU